AUGAGUUUUAGUUCAACCAAGCUUAUGUUACUGUUGUUCAGAAAGUGCCGUUAUCAGGAAAAAAAACAUGAGUCACAGCAUCACACACAGAAACACGACUGUUUGGCCAGUGGGUUGGUGGGGGCUCCUCCUGCUCCUUUCUGCUGCCAGGGAUGCCUGAUGCUACAGAGCCAGGGAUGCUGCUCCAGGCUCCUCUUCAACAGAUUCCAUGGCAAGUCAGUAAGGUUCGAGCCAGACCAAAGCACCCAGCAGCCAAGUUGCCAAGAGGAGCUGCCCACAUGCCAGGAACACAACACCUCCCGGCACACCACUCUUGCUAUGACGUGGUCAGCACAGAUCACCCUUUCAGAGAGCAGACGUCAUCCUGCAAGGCUGACUUGGACGGUGUUGGAGAAGAUCACACUUCUUACUCUUUCCUGCUUUCAGUUUCUUCACCACUUACAGCUAGAUUAUCCCCAUGCAGCACAGUGCAACAAUGCACAACAUUUUUUCUUCUGAUAUGAAAUCACCGUGUAGACAUCAGAUAAUGUUUUUCUUCAAUUUCAGUGAUUUGCUUGCUUAUCACAGAAAUGCCAAUCCUAUAAAAAACUAUCCCUAGACUGCUGAGAAUAUGGAUUUCAUUUGCUGUGUGAAGAAUUAUCGUCACUGUUCUUCUAGCAUGUAAACUGUUAAACUGAGGAACUACUCAAAAGGAGCGUAAACUGCAUAUUUUCCAAUUCUUAUCCUGCAACUCAGACUCAUGUUACAUCAAUAUAUAAGGUUGGCUUUUAACUGGUCCUAAGAUGGCAUCUGAUCAAGUUUUAUUAGAAUUACAUGAACUAUGUUUUACCUUCCUUAACCCUUAGAAGAACCCCAUCCUACCUAACUGCACCUCUACUUUUUUCCUCACAAUGCAGUACUCAACAGCACCUCCAUUUCAGCGAGCCCAGCAUUUGCAGCCACGCUGUGAAUUACCCAGACCCUUCCUGGAUGUGUAUGGGAGGAACAGCAACAGCAGAGGCUCACAAAAGCAGUCUGAAAUUCUAGCAGGAGCUAUGGCACAUUAUGCUAGAAGCCAAACAUUUUGUACUCUCAAUUGAGGAUACUUCUAGGAUACUUCUAAGUAAGAACACAGCAUAUUUAUUGCUGUCAAUUUGUGCAAACAGCUCUAACUUUGCAUUCAGACAUAGACUAAAACAGGGUAUCU
Molecule: long non-coding RNA, 1186 nt
Filed under: Numida meleagris (helmeted guineafowl)
Lineage: Eukaryota; Metazoa; Chordata; Aves; Galliformes; Numididae
Description: lncRNA (ENSNMEG00000019269.1)
Source: RNAcentral